Molecule: long non-coding RNA, 125 nt
Organism: Bufo bufo (common toad)
Lineage: Eukaryota; Metazoa; Chordata; Amphibia; Anura; Bufonidae
Exons: 4
Source: RefSeq, a predicted model, not a curated record
CAAUGGGGCCGUCCGAAUGCUCGGACACAAAAGAAAACGGAUGCGGCACCAAUUGAAUUACAAUGGUUUUAAUGCCGAAUCUGUCCUGGCUAUUUUAGAGAUAAUACAACCAGAUCCGUUCAUAA